Molecule: unclassified non-coding RNA, 352 nt
Filed under: soil metagenome
Description: partial contains 5.8S ribosomal RNA, internal transcribed spacer 2, and large subunit ribosomal RNA
Rfam family: 5.8S ribosomal RNA (bases 1-120)
Source: RNAcentral
GAUGAAGAACGCAGCGAAAUGCGAUAAGUAAUGUGAAUUGCAGAAUUCAGUGAAUCAUCGAAUCUUUGAACGCACAUUGCGCCCGCCAGCACUCUGGCGGGCAUGCCUGUCCGAGCGUCAUUUCAACCCUCGCGCCGUCCCUCCAGGGGGCCCGGCGCGGUGUUGGGGGACACGGCCCCGGCCGCCCCCGAAAUGCAGUGGCGACCCCGCCGCGGCCCCUCCAGCGCAGUAAGCACGCUCGCUACGGGAGGCCCGGUGGACGCGUCCGCCGUAAAACGCCCAACUCUUCAGAAGUUGACCUCGGAUCAGGUAGGGAUACCCGCUGAACUUAAGCAUAUCAAUAAGCGGAGGA